AACGAACGCUGGCGGCAUGCCUAACACAUGCAAGUCGAACGAGAUCUUCGGGUCUAGUGGCGCACGGGUGCGUAACGCGUGGGAAUCUACCCUUUGGUUCGGAAUAACAGUUGGAGACGACUGCUAAUACCGGAUGAUGACGAAAGUCCAAAGAUUUAUCGCCAGAGGAUGAGCCCGCGUAGGAUUAGCUAGUUGGUGUGGUAAAGGCGCACCAAGGCGACGAUCCUUAGCUGGUCUGAGAGGAUGAUCAGCCACACUGGGACUGAGACACGGCCCAGACUCCUACGGGAGGCAGCAGUGGGGAAUAUUGGACAAUGGGCGAAAGCCUGAUCCAGCAAUGCCGCGUGAGUGAUGAAGGCCUUAGGGUUGUAAAGCUCUUUUACCCGGGAUGAUAAUGACAGUACCGGGAGAAUAAGCUCCGGCUAACUCCGUGCCAGCCGCCGCAGUAA
This 449-nucleotide ribosomal RNA is filed under the name uncultured bacterium. RNAcentral's name for it is "partial 16S ribosomal RNA". It matches the Rfam family "Bacterial small subunit ribosomal RNA", at positions 29 to 523 of the family's 1533-position model. The record is from RNAcentral.